UGGGGAAUUUUGGACAAUGGGGGAAACCCUGAUCCAACCAUCCCGCGUGUGCGAUGAAGGCCUUCGGGUUGUAAAGCACUUUUGGCAGGAAAGAAACGUCAUGGGUUAAUACCCCGUGAAACUGACGGUACCGGCAGAAUAAGCACCGGCUAACUACGUGCCAGCAGCCGCGGUAAUACGUAGGGUGCAAGCGUUAAUCGGAAUUACUGGGCGUAAAGCGUGCGCAGGCGGUUCGGAAAGAAAGAUGUGAAAUCCCAGAGCUCAACUUUGGAACUGCAUUUUUAACUACCGGGCUAGAGUGUGUCAGAGGGAGGUGGAAUUCCGCGUGUAGCAGUGAAAUGCGUAGAUAUGCGGAGGAACACCGAUGGCGAAGGCAGCCUCCUGGGAUAACACUGACGCUCAUGCACGAAAGCGUGGGGAGCAAACAGG
RNAcentral lists this ribosomal RNA (429 nucleotides) under Acidobacteriota bacterium. Its description in RNAcentral is "Acidobacteria bacterium partial 16S ribosomal RNA". It matches the Rfam family "Bacterial small subunit ribosomal RNA", at positions 355 to 776 of the family's 1533-position model. The record is from RNAcentral. Lineage: Bacteria; Pseudomonadati; Acidobacteriota.